AACGAACGCUGGCGGCAUGCCUAACACAUGCAAGUCGAACGAAGCCUUCGGGCUUAGUGGCGCACGGGUGCGUAACGCGUGGGAAUCUGCCCUUUGGUUCGGAAUAACAGUUGGAAACGACUGCUAAUACCGGAUGAUGACGAAAGUCCAAAGAUUUAUCGCCAGAGGAUGAGCCCGCGUAGGAUUAGCUAGUUGGUGUGGUAAAGGCGCACCAAGGCGACGCUCCUUAGCUGUUCUGAGAGGAUGAUCAGCCACACUGGGACUGUGACACGGCCCAUACGCCUACGGGAGGCAGCAGUGGGGAAUAUUGGACAAUGGGCGAAAGCCUGAUCCAGCAAUGCCGCGUGAGUGAUGAAGGCCCUAGGGUUGUAAAGCUCUUUUACCCGGGAUGAUAAUGACAGUACCGGGAGAAUAAGCCCCGGCUAACUCCGUGCCAGCCGCCGCGGUAA
This 449-nucleotide ribosomal RNA is filed under the name uncultured bacterium. Its description in RNAcentral is "partial 16S ribosomal RNA". It matches the Rfam family "Bacterial small subunit ribosomal RNA", at positions 29 to 523 of the family's 1533-position model. The record is from RNAcentral.